RNAcentral lists this small RNA (1565 nucleotides) under Pan troglodytes (chimpanzee). Its description in RNAcentral is "retained intron". Lineage: Eukaryota; Metazoa; Chordata; Mammalia; Primates; Hominidae. The record is from RNAcentral.
ACUUACCCCUGAGCUGCUUCUGCCGUUGCAUCUUCGGGACUCCGCCCCGCGCGCGGACCUGCAGCCAUGGCAGUCACCGCCCAGGCAGCCCGCAGGAAGGAGCGCGUCCUCUGCCUGUUUGACGUGGACGGGACCCUCACGCCGGCUCGCCAGUCGUGGAGCAGAGAGGGCUUCUUUUCAAAUUCGUUUAUGAGCUCUACCCACCCGGAUGUGAGAGGCUCCAGGCCUAGCCUGUUUGCUGUGAGGACACUGAGGAAUAGUGAGGAAAAUUGACCCUGAGGUGGCCGCCUUCCUGCAGAAGCUGCGAAGUAGAGUGCAGAUCGGUGUGGUGGGCGGCUCUGACUACUGUAAGAUCGCUGAGCAGCUGGGUGACGGGGAUGAAGUCAUUGAGAAGUUUGAUUAUGUGUUUGCCGAGAACGGGACGGUGCAGUAUAAGCACGGACGACUGCUCUCCAAGCAGACCAUCCAGAACCACCUGGGGGAGGAGCUGCUGCAGGACUUGAUCAACUUCUGCCUCAGCUACAUGGCCCUGCUCAGGCUGCCCAAGAAGCGGUGAGGUCCCACCAGCCUGGUCUCCAGAACCUGGGGCCUGAGGGAGGAGAAGUGUGGGUCCCUCAGAGGGAGCCUGGAGAUACUUGGGCCCCUGAUUUUUUGCGGGGAGUGUGGAUUCUUGUCCCCUUUGAAGUCCUAGGAGGCUGGGGUCCCAGGUGGGGCUAGAUUUGAAUUCAGGGCCGUUCUGGUUCUCUCUGGCUCCCCGCCCUCCCUCACCACCAGUGGAACCUUCAUCGAGUUUCGGAAUGGCAUGCUGAACAUCUCGCCCAUCGGCCGGAGCUGCACCCUGGAGGAGAGGAUCGAGUUCUCCGAACUGGACAAGAAAGAGAAGAUCCGGGAGAAGUUCGUGGAAGCCCUGAAAACAGAGUUUGCUGGCAAAGGGCUGAGGUUCUCUCGAGGAGGCAUGAUCAGCUUUGACGUCUUCCCCGAGGGCUGGGACAAGCGCUACUGCCUGGAUAGCCUGGACCAGGACAGCUUCGACACCAUCCACUUCUUUGGGAACGAGACUAGCCCUGGUGGGAACGACUUUGAGAUCUUUGCCGACCCCCGGACUGUUGGCCACAGCGUGGUGUCUCCUCAGGACACGGUGCAGCGAUGCCGGGAGAUUUUCUUCCCAGAGACAGCUCAUGAGGCGUGACCGGGGCCCACAUCUGUGUGUCGUGACUUCUGAAGAGUUUGGCCUAGGCCUAAAGAGAGGUCCUGGUGUUGGAUAGAUGCCAGGGCCCCUCCUCUGGCCCAGGAUGCCCACCCAGAUGGGGCCAGAGUCCGUGUGGACAACCGUCCCCAGCCAGUCUGCUCCUAGUGGCACUGGCUUCGUCCUCCCAGGGCCCAGAGUGUUUCCCGUGCUCCACCUGGUGGCCCAGGCCACAGCUGCUGCUUGUAUUUCGGUACAGAAGAGGUUUCUUUCUGCACCAGGAGGAGGCGUGCGCAAGUGUCGGUACGAGAUCUAGCCUGCCCUGCCUGCCUGCCCUGGGCGAUGAGGUACGGUGGGGAAGGUGCCUAUUUUAGAGAAC